RNAcentral lists this ribosomal RNA (253 nucleotides) under uncultured bacterium. RNAcentral describes it as "partial 16S ribosomal RNA". It matches the Rfam family "Bacterial small subunit ribosomal RNA", at positions 524 to 776 of the family's 1533-position model. The record is from RNAcentral.
UACGGAGGGGGCUAGCGUUGUUCGGAAUUACUGGGCGUAAAGGGCGCGUAGGUGGCCUGUUAAGUCGAACGUGAAAUCCCCGGGCUCAACCCGGGGACUGCGUCCGAGACUGGCAGGCUCGAAUCCGGGAGAGGGAUGUGGAAUUCCAGGUGUAGCGGUGAAAUGCGUAGAGAUCCGGAGGAAUACCAGUGGCGCAAGCGGCGCUCUGGGUCGAGCCUGACACUGAGACGCGAAGGCAUGGGGAGCGAACGGG